Molecule: transfer RNA, 60 nt
Filed under: Cautires paraimitator
Lineage: Eukaryota; Metazoa; Arthropoda; Insecta; Coleoptera; Lycidae
Also listed under: 1 other name
Description: tRNA-Ser
Source: RNAcentral
AGAAUCAUAAUAAAAAAGCUUCUAACUUUAAAUAAAAACAUUAAUAUGUUUAUGAUUCUU